AUGGCCCGCAGCAUCGUGCCGGAGAACGCCCGGAAGCUCCAUGUUGCAUCCCCUAUUUCCGCCCAUUGUACACGCAGGAAGAUCAAUUCAAGUAGAAAACCACGUCAGUCCAACCUGCUUCAAUACCAUAUAACUGGAAUUAACCGAUGCAAGUCCAAGAAGGAUUGGCCGGUGCUGCCGACUGGAGUCAAGUUCGAUCCCACGGAUCAGGAGCUGAUCGAGCACCUUGAGGCCAAAGUGAGUGCUAACAGCGCGAGAUCUCACCCUCUCAUCGAUUUGUUCAUACCAACCAUCGACGGCGAGCACGGCAUAUGCUACACCCAUCCUGAGAAACUUCCAGGUAUCACACUGAGUGGCCAAAGCAAGCAUUUCUUCCAGCGCAAUUCCAGGGCGUUCAAAAGGGGCACGUGGAUGCGUUGCCAGAUACAGUCGGAGUGCGGCCUGCACACGAUGUGGCACAAGACCGGCAAUACCUUGCCGGUGAUGGUCAAUGGCCGGCAGACGGGCAGCAAAAAGGUUCAGGUGCUACACACCAACAAGAACUUCGACCAGCAGAGGACCAACUAG
RNAcentral lists this ribosomal RNA (567 nucleotides) under Triticum aestivum (bread wheat). RNAcentral describes it as "partial small subunit ribosomal RNA". The record is from RNAcentral. Lineage: Eukaryota; Viridiplantae; Streptophyta; Magnoliopsida; Poales; Poaceae.